Molecule: long non-coding RNA, 2319 nt
Organism: Cercocebus atys (sooty mangabey)
Lineage: Eukaryota; Metazoa; Chordata; Mammalia; Primates; Cercopithecidae
Exons: 4
Source: RefSeq, a predicted model, not a curated record
CGCGCUCCCUUCUGGGCGAGCGGGUGCGGGGCGCGCGCCAUGGAACAGCGGUUAGCUGAGUGUCGGUUUGCGCGCAAACUGCCUGCCUGGCGGCCCAACAAAGCGUUUCCAGCCAGGACGCACAAACCUCGGGAGAGAAGGCGGAAGCCGCAGCGACUCUAAAGGCAGCCCCCGGCUGACUAAAGCUGUUCUUGGUACGGAAACCGAGGCCCCAGUGCUCGGGCCCUACCCAGCCUGAUUCAGGUGAAAGGAGGGAAGCCUCGGCCGGGUACCGGCGUCAGAGCCACAGUCGGACCUGGCCCUGCUGCCGGGGCGGGUCGGCUGGGCCUCCCUCCCGCUCCGGGCUAGACCUGACGUCUCCUGCCUUUCGCGUCCGCACUGCUCCGGGCUUUAACAUUUUCUUUCCAGCCCGCGAACCACGCAGCUCUGGAUUCCAGGCAAGAAGCGAGGGUCAGGGUCCCGAAAGAAAGCACCCCUGUCCUUGAAUUAUUCACCCCGAAUUGAAUUAUCAUGACACCCUGUGGCUUUGGGAAACCUCCCCACAACCAAGUGGAGCCACAGCCCUCGGCUAAAUGAGGGUAGAAGGUCGAAUUAGAUACUGAUCAAAAGUGGCGGCCUGUCAUACUUUCUCCUUCCUAGGAAAUUGCUGGUGGCCUUUCUUGUUCUUCCUCUGAAGUCACUUCUAAGUCUUGUUCUGCUCUAGAUGUUUGUACAUCCUUUCUUUUUACUGCAUUCUUCACAACAGACUCUUCCAUUUCAGUGGUAGGCUUCAAGGAAAGAUGUUUUACAGGAGGCCCUUCUCCUUUUACCAUAUUUUUUCUUCUUUUUUAUAUGAAGGUUCACGUAAAGACUCUGAAGCAGUCUCAGGGUUAUACUACUUGGUAGUAAAAGUCAAGUCUUCAUUAUCUAGUUUACGGCAUGAAUCAACACACAGUUCUUUGAAAUACUUAAUGCAGAUUCGUCAGAACUCCCUGAAUCUUCUAUACUUGCUCCUCCUUUUUUCAAACUUGCAUUCUUAGAUGCUUCUGGAUCGUCAUUUUGAAGACCAUUUUCAAGUAUCUUUUUUUAUGUUGCAAAAUUUGUUGUUGAAUGCUAGUCAAAGCACCAGAAAAGCAUAAUUGUUUGCUGUCUGUACAUACAUAUUUUGAAUAAAGACAGUAAUAUUUUGUUGAAGAAUGCCGACUAUACCUAACGAGCCAUAAUGUACAGCAGGCAUGAGGACUGUUCCUCCCAACCUAUCGACAACAUGUACAUUUGCUUGUUUCUUCACCAAAAAUUCCAGCAUUUGCUGUCUUUUGCAAACUGCAGCAAGUAAAAGUGGUGUGUUUCCAUCAUUGUUCAGCGCUUCAAUAUCCAUAUCACGGGAAAGUAGUUUUUCUACCAGGAAUGUACUCUCAUUAUAGGACAGCAUAGUGGAGAGCAGUGUUGCCGUAGAUAUCCACGUUCCAGCAGAAUGAUGCCACAAAUCUCUUCCUGGCGAUGUACAACCUUCUCAAAGGCGUCCCAUUUUGUUUGUCACCAAUGUCAAUGUGGUAUUUUCAGUUCACCAGGAGAGUCCCCACUUCCACAUGGCCAUUGGCACAGGCCAAAUGUACAGCAGCCCUGUCCAUCCACAGCUGAAGGGAUAAAGAAACUGCCAUACAGAUACACACAGAAUAUGCUUCAGUCAUAAAGCUUUAGGAAAUCCUGUCAUCCACAGCCACAUGGAGAAACCCAGAGGACAUUAGGUCCAAGAAAAUGAGCCUGGUGGAGAAAGUCCCACACUGCAUGAUCUCAGGCAUGUGGACUCCUAAAAGCUUUACCUACUGCCCGUCCACAGAUGAAGGGAUCAAGAAACUCUAAUAUAUAUUCACAAAGAAAUAGUCUUUGGCCAUCAAGAUAAUUAAAGGAUGUCAUCUGGAGGAACACAGACGGCCCGCCGAGGCUGCAGCUGCCUUGUCCUGCACUGUGGAUGGAAGCCACUGUUCUGACAAGAGGCGGAGCUUAGGUGGUAAUGCUUGCUACUGCUGUGCCACCAGGUUCCUGACAGGCCCGGGACGAUACUGGUCCAGGGGUGGGGGACCCAUGCUCCAGAUGACAGCCAGAGUAGUCUUAAAUGACCUUGUGCUGUGCAUGAAGGUGGUAUGCAAUCAGAAGACGUCUGAGGAGACAAGUAUGCGUCUCCCACCACAACAUUAUAUGAUGCUUGGAGUAAAAACAGUCAUCCCUGUUCCUACCUACAAUUGUAUUAUUCAAUAAAGAUUGCUGCCAGACAUGGUGGCUCAUACCUGUAGUCCCAGCACUUUGGGAGGCCGAGGCUGGGCAGAUCGCUUGAGACCA